This 406-nucleotide ribosomal RNA is filed under the name uncultured bacterium. RNAcentral's name for it is "partial 16S ribosomal RNA". It matches the Rfam family "Bacterial small subunit ribosomal RNA", at positions 29 to 526 of the family's 1533-position model. The record is from RNAcentral.
AUUGAACGCUGGCGGCAGGCCUAACACAUGCAAGUCGAACGAGUGGCGGACGGGUGAGUAAUGUCUGGGAAACUGCCUGAUGGAGGGGGAUAACUACUGGAAACGGUAGCUAAUACCGCAUACCAUCAGAUGUGCCCAGAUGGGAUUAGCUAGUAGGUGGGGUAACGGCUCACCUAGGCGACGAUCCCAUGCUGGUCUGAGAGGAUGACCAGGCACACUGGAGUGGAAACACGGUCCAGACACCUGCGGGAGGCAGCGGUGGGGAAGAUUGCACAAUGGGCGCAAGCCUGAUGCAGCCAUGCCGCGUGUAGGAAGAGGGCCUUCGGGUUGUAAAGUACUUUCAGCGGGGAGGCGUUACCCGCAGAAGAAGCACCGGCUAACUCCGUGCCAGCAGCCGCGGUAAUAC